GUGUGGGCCAUAGUGGGCGCUAUUAAAACAAGACUGAAAGUUUGGGGUGGGUCAUUCACACGCGCUGCUUUUGCUAUGCUUGAACCCCAUUUGUGGCUUUUAAUCUUUUGAAAUCGCUGUGGGAUUUCAAUAUAUAUAAAGCUCAAUGGAUUCCGGUGCUAUGUUGCGUUGCAUCUAUUGGAUUACUCUAUUGAUCGCCACUCUUAUUCAUGGAACAAACGCGGAUAAAAGUUCAGCCCUUUGUUUGAAAUCCGAAUUCUGGAACAGAGAUGUCGCACAAUGUGUACCUUGUCAAAUAUGCAAACAGUAUCCGAAAACUCCAUCAUGUGACACAUGCCCACCCAUAGAGCCUUCAGAUUCCUGGAGGGUGGCAGCAAUUACCAGUUUAUCUGUCCUGGCAGCCGUAAUUGUUUGCGGAGCCUUGCUCAUAGGCAUUCUAGUGCAUCAAUUCAGGUCCAAGAGGACUUUACGUGAACCGAUUGAAGAGACAACAGGACCCCUUUAUCAAGUAUAGGAUCUUCAUAAGCUCAUGGAACUCAAGCUGACGAAAAUGAAAAUGGACUGUUACUCCAGUGAAUUAAUGCUCCAGUUGGUAAACGCUGGCUAGUACCUCAACCACAGAGUGUUCUAUGAGUAGCAUCUGAUUUGUCUAACUUAUUACAUUAGUAGGCUAUGUCAUGCAUAGCAAAUGGUUAUGCACAAAAGCUGCACUGAGACCUUCCUUGUCACUCACUGUGCAGAAUAGGUUUGCAAGCCUUGGUGCUAAGUGACAUCCUAUGGACAGCAUGAUAGCACUGUUUUUGCAGAAAUUUGAGGUCAUUCAUGUUGCACUUAGUGCACUGUAGAUGCAUUCCCACUUGAAUAUUCCUUGUUAGAUUUGUGAACAUGAUAAACAAAUAACCACAAACCGUUUAAUAUAGUAGACUUAGAGAUCAACUUUUUUAUACAAAUAUGCCUCCCUAAACAGAUUUAGUAUGGCACAGCCAUUUGAAUGUAUUUGUAAUCAUUGUUUGUACAGUUUAAUUAUCUAUUUUUAUAGUGUUGGAAUACUACGCACUGUAUAGAUGUAGCCCUUUGUACAACAAUGUUCUGACACUGACUGGCUCAGCAGCCUGUCUAUAGCAUUGAUGAACGUUCUGGAGACACUGAAGACCAGCGAAGCAACAGAAGGUGAUAACCUGAAAGACAAGAGUCGCCAGCUGACAUUAACAAACUCUUUGAGAAAGAGUCGCAGGUGUCAGAUUCCAUCAGAUUUUUGCUGCCUUUAUACGCAUAAGAGAUUAGAUAGUUUAGAGUGAUAUUUACAUGUAAGUAGUGAUAUUUACAUACAUGCAAUACAUUUAAUCUCCCGUGUUUUAUAAUUUCAGCUUACUAAAAUGUUUUGAAACGCAGUUUUAGAUGCGUGUAGCCAGCUGUGGGCAUUAUGGAAUGUAUAUAUUUAUAUACAGCAGAUGCUGAGUAAUCAACUUGUUUGAAUGACAAGAGGUUAAUCUCAUGAAACCUGUGAAGAACAUGUUUGAGUAACAUUUCAACCCAGAAUCAAAAGAAUUCAAUAAGAAAUAUUUUGCUUAAAGAAUUUGUUGCAUUGUUUUCAAGAAAACUUAAGCACACUUUAUACCCCAGUUCCCAAGAAUACUUUAU
Molecule: long non-coding RNA, 1641 nt
Organism: Sinocyclocheilus grahami
Lineage: Eukaryota; Metazoa; Chordata; Actinopteri; Cypriniformes; Cyprinidae
Exons: 5
Source: RefSeq, a predicted model, not a curated record